This 87-nucleotide transfer RNA is filed under the name Colletotrichum chlorophyti. It matches the Rfam family "tRNA". From Rfam's summary of the family: Transfer RNA (tRNA) molecules are approximately 80 nucleotides in length. Their secondary structure includes four short double-helical elements and three loops (D, anti-codon, and T loops). Further hydrogen bonds mediate the characteristic L-shaped molecular structure. tRNAs have two regions of fundamental functional importance: the anti-codon, which is responsible for specific mRNA codon recognition, and the 3' end, to which the tRNAs corresponding amino acid is attached (by aminoacyl-tRNA synthetases). tRNAs cope with the degeneracy of the genetic code in two manners: having more than one tRNA (with a specific anti-codon) for a particular amino acid; and 'wobble' base-pairing, i.e. permitting non-standard base-pairing at the 3rd anti-codon position. Lineage: Eukaryota; Fungi; Ascomycota; Sordariomycetes; Glomerellales; Glomerellaceae. The record is from Rfam by way of RNAcentral.
GGUCUAUUAGUCUAGUUGGUUAGGACGUCGGAUUCUGAUUCAUACCCAGAUCUUCCGUAGGCCCAGGUUCGAAUCCUGGAUGGACCU